This 467-nucleotide ribosomal RNA is filed under the name uncultured bacterium. RNAcentral's name for it is "partial 16S ribosomal RNA". It matches the Rfam family "Bacterial small subunit ribosomal RNA", at positions 28 to 506 of the family's 1533-position model. The record is from RNAcentral.
GACGAACGCUGGCGGUGUGCUUAACACAUGCAAGUCGAACGGUAAGGCCCUUUCGGGGGUACACGAGUGGCGAACGGGUGCGUAACACGUGAGUAACCUGCCCUCAUCUCUGGGAUAACAGUCGGAAACGGUUGCUAAUACUGGUUAUGAGCUUUCAAGGCAUCUUGUGGGUUGGAAAGAUUUUUUUUGGUUGGGGAUGGACUCGCGGCCUAUCAGCUUGUUGGUGAGGUAGUGGCUCACCAAGGCUUCGACGGGGAGCCGGCCUGAGUGGGCGACCGGCCACAUUGGGACUGAAAGACAGGCAAAACUCCGGAGGGAGGGAGAAGGGGGGAAAAUUGCACAAAGGAAGGAAGUCUGAUGCAACAACGCCGCGUGCGGGAUAACGGCCUUCGGGUUGUAAAAAGAUUUCAAUUGUGACGAAGCUUUUUUGUGACGGUAGCAGUAGAAGAAGCACCGGCUAACUACGU